This 468-nucleotide ribosomal RNA is filed under the name uncultured bacterium. Its description in RNAcentral is "partial 16S ribosomal RNA". It matches the Rfam family "Bacterial small subunit ribosomal RNA", at positions 28 to 507 of the family's 1533-position model. The record is from RNAcentral.
GACGAACGCUGGCGGCGUGCUUAACACAUGCAAGUCGAACGGAAAGGCCCUGCUUUUGUGGGGUGCUCGAGUGGCGAACGGGUGAGUAACACGUGAGUAACCUGCCCUUGACUUUGGGAUAACUUCAGGAAACUGGGGCUAAUACCGUAUAGGAGCUCCUGCUGCAUGGUGGGGGUUGGAAAUUUUCGGCGGUUGGGGAUGGACUCGCGGCUGAUCAGCUUGUUGGUGGGGUAGUGGCUGACCAAGGCUUUGACGGGUAGCCGGCCUGAGAGGGUGACCGGCCACAUUGGGACUGAGAUACGGCCCAGACUCCUACGGGAGGCAGCAGUGGGGAAUAUUGCACAAUGGGCGGAAGCCUGAUGCAGCAACGCCGCGUGCGGGAUGACGGCCUUCGGGUUGUAAACCGCUUUCGCCUGUGACGAAGCGUGAGUGACGGUAAUGGGUAAAGAAGCACCGGCUAACUACGUG